Molecule: non-coding RNA, 735 nt
Organism: Camellia sinensis
Lineage: Eukaryota; Viridiplantae; Streptophyta; Magnoliopsida; Ericales; Theaceae
Source: RefSeq, a predicted model, not a curated record
ACUCUGUUCUGCCUCACACACACACACACACACACACACACACACGAUAUACACUUCUGUCUCAGACAUUACCAAACCUCACCCCCACUCACCACCAGCGCUCGCCACCGUCGCACUUCGCCACCGCCACUUGCAAAUCACCACCGCCAGAUAAUCACAACAAAUGGAGAUGAGCUUAUGCGACCAAUGGGUAGAAGAGGCACUUUCCAAGUUGGAAUCUCUGAAACUCCUCCGUUCUCUUAGACCCAUGCACCGACCCAUCAAUGAACAAUCGAAACCCAUCGAUACCCAGGUGAAGAAUGCUUCAAACUACGAUGAAUUCGAGGUGUUCGACAAUUUGCGGCAAUAGGAUAGGACAUCUGUUGAAGUAGUGAUUGCUGAUAGCACAUUUCAGAGAUGGGUUCGUGAGGUAGAAGUUGUGGAGAUGAUGCUGACUGUGGCAACCAAGAAGCUGAAAUAGGGGCCUGCCCUCAAAAGUUUAGAAAGCUACUUUUAUUUUCUGGAAAUGAUUACUUGGGCUUGAGUUCACAUCCUACAGUUUCAAAAGCUGCUGCAAAGAUCAAUUUUGGCAAGGAAUUGUAGAUAUUCCUUUUUUGUCUAAGGAGGACGUGGUUUUUGUACUACUUUUUAUUCUGUAUGAAAUUAUUAUUUUCAGUUGGAAUAUACUUAGUUUGUAUAAAAUUUGACAUAAAAAGUUAUUCUCUGUUUUGGAUGGUUGUAAGUGAAAUACGUGUU